UUUGCAGCGUUUGUUGAGAAAGUUUAGUAAUGAAAUGGAAGAUUUUAAAUCAGCAACCGCAAGAAAUUUUGCAGCCACGGAGUUUUUCUCUCACUGACUGACUCAGCCUUGCUGAGUCGCUCAGGCCAGGGGGUCUUUGCUGGAGCGAUUCAUCAACCCCUUGUAGCAUGUCCUUCAACAAACAAUGGGAUGUGACUGAACCCAUUACUGGAAAUCCAUCAGGAUUCUGGCUUCGAGGGGUGUAGGUGCUAAUCCAGUUCUCCAAGAGGAAGCUCCAGCUGGAAGGGACAGUCUGCUGAUGGCAGUCUGCUCUGCACCUGCUCUCGGCACUGGCUGCCUGAAAGCGAAGCAGGGAACACAAACUUCCUCUAUGCUGACAGUCCC
Molecule: long non-coding RNA, 384 nt
Filed under: Scleropages formosus (Asian bonytongue)
Lineage: Eukaryota; Metazoa; Chordata; Actinopteri; Osteoglossiformes; Osteoglossidae
Description: lncRNA (ENSSFOG00015030244.1)
Source: RNAcentral